This 530-nucleotide long non-coding RNA is filed under the name Gossypium raimondii (Peruvian cotton). RNAcentral describes it as "long non-coding RNA (GRAI_LNC010608)". The record is from RNAcentral. Lineage: Eukaryota; Viridiplantae; Streptophyta; Magnoliopsida; Malvales; Malvaceae.
CCACAGGCUAUAACCAAAAUAAAGUAAGAAAACCUAAAAUAUUAUACCAUUUAACUCUUUCAACUUCUCAAAGCCUCAAUCCUUUUUUCUCAUUUUCUAUUUUUCAGCAGGGACGGUGACUGAACGCAGAAGCAGAUCUGGAGGGAGAUGGGCAACUGGAGAGUGGAGAGAGGCUGAGAGGCCAAAUGGACGAGGGACGAGAGUGGUGGUUGCCUGGGUGGGUCUCGAGUUAGUUUUUCUUUUUCCGGCUUGCCCAACUUGAAGCAGUCCAGUUUUUUUAAAAAACCGGUCCGACCAAUUUUUAUUGGUUUUUUCGGUUUACAAUUUGCGGUUCAAUUGCGAUUUUUUCAAUUCUCGAUCUGAACAUUUUUUAUUAGUGUUUGGACCAAUUCCCAAACGAUCAAUUAAUUCAGUUGGAUUCAAACAUCAUUUUUAGGUACAAAAGAAGAUUGAACUCCCAUGGGGAAACAAUACAAUUAGCGGGGUAUAAACUGCUUUUAGAUUUAUUUUUUUUAAUUUAAUGACUGCAC